AUUGGACCCGGCUUGCCGGGUGGCUCGGCCGGGCGCCUAUCCCUCGGACAACU
Non-coding RNA from Achromobacter piechaudii ATCC 43553, 53 nucleotides. Lineage: Bacteria; Pseudomonadati; Pseudomonadota; Betaproteobacteria; Burkholderiales; Alcaligenaceae. The record is from Rfam.